This 179-nucleotide ribosomal RNA is filed under the name uncultured bacterium. RNAcentral describes it as "partial 16S ribosomal RNA". It matches the Rfam family "Bacterial small subunit ribosomal RNA", at positions 1321 to 1500 of the family's 1533-position model. The record is from RNAcentral.
CGAAGCUGGAAUCGCUAGUAAUCGCGGAUCAGANGCCGCGGUGAAUACGUUCCCGGGUCUUGUACACACCGCCCGUCACACCAUGGGAGCCGGGAAUGCCCGAAGUCAGCGGCCCAACCGCAAGGAGGGAGCUGCCGAAGGCAGGUCUGGUGACUGGGGUGAAGUCGUAACAAGGUAGC